RNAcentral lists this ribosomal RNA (200 nucleotides) under uncultured Escherichia sp. RNAcentral describes it as "partial 16S ribosomal RNA". It matches the Rfam family "Bacterial small subunit ribosomal RNA", at positions 334 to 526 of the family's 1533-position model. Lineage: Bacteria; Pseudomonadati; Pseudomonadota; Gammaproteobacteria; Enterobacterales; Enterobacteriaceae. The record is from RNAcentral.
UACUCCUACGGGAGGCAGCAGUGGGGAAUAUUGCACAAUGGGCGCAAGCCUGAUGCAGCCAUGCCGCGUGUAUGAAGAAGGCCUUCGGGUUGUAAAGUACUUUCAGCGGGGAGGAAGGGAGUAAAGUUAAUACCUUUGCUCAUUGACGUUACCCGCAGAAGAAGCACCGGCUAACUCCGUGCCAGCAGCCGCGGUAAUAC